Molecule: ribosomal RNA, 253 nt
Filed under: uncultured bacterium
Lineage: Bacteria
Description: partial 16S ribosomal RNA
Rfam family: Bacterial small subunit ribosomal RNA
Source: RNAcentral
UACGGGGGGGGCAAGCGUUGUUCGGAAUUACUGGGCGUAAAGGGCGCGUAGGCGGCCCUCUAAGUCAGACGUGAAAUCCCACGGCUUAACCGUGGAACUGCGUCUGAUACUGGAGGGCUUGAAUCCGGGAGAGGGAUGUGGAAUUCCAGGUGUAGCGGUGAAAUGCGUAGAUAUCAAGUGGAACACCAGUGGCGAAGGCGAGUCUCUGGACAUUUCCUGACGCUGAGGCACGAAAGCCAGGGGAGCAAACGGG